RNAcentral lists this ribosomal RNA (2688 nucleotides) under Clostridioides difficile. Its description in RNAcentral is "bacterial LSU rRNA". It matches the Rfam family "Bacterial large subunit ribosomal RNA". The record is from RNAcentral. Lineage: Bacteria; Bacillati; Bacillota; Clostridia; Peptostreptococcales; Peptostreptococcaceae.
AGGGUGCAGGGCGGAUGCCUUGGCACUAGGAGCCGAUGAAGGACGUGAUAAGCUGCGAUAAGCUUCGGGGAGUUGCACGUAAACUUUGAUCCGAAGAUUUCCGAAUGAGGAAACUCACUUAGAGUAAUGUCUAAGUAUCAUUAAGUGAAUACAUAGCUUAAUGAGGGGAACUCAGGGAACUGAAACAUCUAAGUACCUGAAGGAAGAGAAAGAAAUUCGAUUCCGUAAGUAGCGGCGAGCGAACGCGGAUUAGCCCAAACCAAUAAAGUUUUCUUUAUUGGGGUUGCGGACAUAUCAUAACGAAGAGGUAUCGUAAUUGAAGAGGUUUGGAAAGACCCACCACAGAAGGUAAUAGUCCUGUAUGUUAAACGAGAAGACUUCAGAUAUGAUCCAGAGUACCACGGGACACGUGAAACCCUGUGGGAAGCAGGAGGGACCACCCUCCAAGGCUAAAUACUACCUAGUGACCGAUAGCGUAUAGUACCGUGAGGGAAAGGUGAAAAGAACCCCGGGAGGGGAGUGAAAUAGAACCUGAAACCCUGCACUUACAAGCUGUGGAAGCACAUUUCUUGUGUGACCGCGUACUUUUUGUAGAACGGGCCAACGAGUUACGUUAAGUAGCAAGGUUAAGCACUUAAGGUGCGGAGCCGUAGCGAAAGCGAGUUUUAACUGAGCGUUCAGUUACUUGACGUAGACCCGAAACCGGGCGACCUACCCAUGAGCAGGAUGAAGCGAAAGUAAAAUUUCGUGGAGGUCCGAACCCACGAGCGUUGAAAAGCUCGGGGAUGACUUGUGGGUAGCGGUGAAAUUCCAAUCGAGCCCGGAGAUAGCUGGUUCUCCCCGAAAUAGCUUUAGGGCUAGCCUCAAGGUGAGAGAUACGGAGGUAGAGCACUGAAUGUCCUAGGGGGUAUUGCACCUACCGAAGACUAUCAAACUCCGAAUGCCGUCAUCUUAUACUUGGGAGUCAGACUGUGGGUGAUAAGAUUCAUAGUCGAAAGGGCAACAGCCCAGAUCGUCAGCUAAGGUCCCUAAAUGUAAGUUAAGUGGUAAAGGAUGUGGGAUUGCACAGACAACCAGGAUGUUGGCUUAGAAGCAGCCACUCAUUCAAAGAGUGCGUAAUAGCUCACUGGUCGAGUGAUCCUGCGCCGAAGAUUUCCGGGGCUAAAACUUACUACCGAAGCUACGGCAUCAGUAAUGAUGGGUAGGGGAGCUUCCCAUACGGGUUGAAGCAUGACCGUAAGGACAUGUGGACAGUAUGGGAGUGAGAAUGUUGGCAUGAGUAGCGAGAUGUGGGUGAGAAUCCCACAGGCCGUAAACCCAAGGUUUCCAGGGGAAGGUUCGUCCGCCCUGGGUUAGUCGGGACCUAAGCUGAGGCCGAAAGGCGUAGGUGAUGGACAACAGGUUGAUAUUCCUGUACUACCGAUAACCGUUUGAGAGAAGGGAUGACACAGUAGGAUAAGCUAAGCACACUGUUGGUUAUGUGUGCCCAAGCAUUGAGGCGGUCAAAGUAGGCAAAUCCGCUUUGAUAAUGCUGGGAUGUGAUGGGGAGCGAAAUUUAGUAGCGAAGUAGCUGAUUUCACACUGUCAAGAAAAGUCUCUAUCGAGGUUAAAGGUACCCGUACCGCAAACCGACACAGGUGGGUGAGGAGAGUAUCCUAAGGCCAGCGAGAGAACUGUUGUUAAGGAACUCGGCAAAAUGACCCCGUAACUUAGGGAUAAGGGGUGCCACCAUCAGGUGGCCGCAGAGAAUAGGCCCAAGCGACUGUUUACCAAAAACAUAGGUUUCUGCUAAGUCGCAAGACGAUGUAUAGGAGCUGACGCCUGCCCGGUGCUGGAAGGUUAAGGGGAUCUGUUAGAGCAAUCGAAGCAGUGAACUUAAGCCCCAGUAAACGGCGGCCGUAACUAUAACGGUCCUAAGGUAGCGAAAUUCCUUGUCGGGUAAGUUCCGACCCGCACGAAAGGCGUAACGAUUUGGGCACUGUCUCAACAACAGACUCGGUGAAAUUGUAAUUCCGGUGAAGAUGCCGGAUACCUGCGACAGGACGGAAAGACCCCAUGGAGCUUUACUGUAGCUUGACAUUGGGUCUUGGUACUACAUGUACAGGAUAGGUGGGAGGCUUUGAAACCAGGACGCCAGUUUUGGCGGAGCCAUCCUUGGGAUACCACCCUUGUAGUACUGGGACUCUAACCAUAGGCCAUGAAUCUGGUCUUGGGACACUGUCAGGUGGGCAGUUUGACUGGGGCGGUCGCCUCCCAAAAGGUAACGGAGGCGCUCAAAGGUUCUCUCAGUACGGUCGGAAAUCGUACGUAGAGUGUAAAGGCAAAAGAGAGCUUGAUUGCAAGACAUACAGGUCGAGCAAGGAUGAAAAUCGGACUUAGUGAUCCGGUGGUUCUGCGUGGAAGGGCCAUCGCUCAACGGAUAAAAGCUACCCUGGGGAUAACAGGCUUAUCUCCCCCAAGAGUCCACAUCGACGGGGAGGUUUGGCACCUCGAUGUCGGCUCAUCACAUCCUGGGGCUGUAGUAGGUCCCAAGGGUUGGGCUGUUCGCCCAUUAAAGUGGUACGCGAGCUGGGUUCAGAACGUCGUGAGACAGUUCGGUCCCUAUCCGUCGCAGGCGUAGGAAAUUUGAGAAGACCUGUCCUUAGUACGAGAGGACCGGGAUGGACGUACCUCUGGUGUACCAGUUGU